Molecule: ribosomal RNA, 391 nt
Filed under: uncultured Anaerolineaceae bacterium
Lineage: Bacteria; Bacillati; Chloroflexota; Anaerolineae; Anaerolineales; Anaerolineaceae
Description: bacterial SSU rRNA
Rfam family: Bacterial small subunit ribosomal RNA
Source: RNAcentral
CUUGACAUGCAGGUUAGUCGGGGUUUACGAAAGUAGGCCCACCCUCGGGAGGCCUGCACAGGUGCUGCAUGGCUGUCGUCAGCUCGUGUCGUGAGAUGUCCGGUUAAGUCCCGGUAACGAGCGCAACCCUCGCUGUAUGUUAUACGUGUCAUACGGGACUGCCGGUAUCAAGCCGGAGGAAGGUGGGAUGACGUCAAGUCAGCAUGGCCUUUAUGUCUGGGGCUACACACACGCUACAACGGCCAGUACAAUAGGUUGCAAGACCGCGAGGUGGAGCCAAUCCUAAAAGCUGGUCUCAGUUCGGAUUGCAGGCUGCAACUCGCCUGCAUGAAGUCGGAGUUGCUAGUAACCGCGCGUCAGCUAUAGUGCGGUGAAUACGUUCCCGGACCUU